This 410-nucleotide ribosomal RNA is filed under the name uncultured bacterium. RNAcentral describes it as "bacterial SSU rRNA". It matches the Rfam family "Bacterial small subunit ribosomal RNA", at positions 441 to 842 of the family's 1533-position model. The record is from RNAcentral.
AGAGAAGAAAGUGCGUGAGAGUAACUGUUCACGUUUCGACGGUAUCUAACCAGAAAGCCACGGCUAACUACGUGCCAGCAGCCGCGGUAAUACGUAGGUGGCAAGCGUUAUCCGGAUUUAUUGGGCGUAAAGGGAACGCAGGCGGUCUUUUAAGUCUGAUGUGAAAGCCUUCGGCUUAACCGGAGUAGUGCAUUGGAAACUGGGAGACUUGAGUGCAGAAGAGGAGAGUGGAACUCCAUGUGUAGCGGUGAAAUGCGUAGAUAUAUGGAAGAACACCAGUGGCGAAAGCGGCUCUCUGGUCUGUAACUGACGCUGAGGUUCGAAAGCGUGGGUAGCAAACAGGAUUAGAUACCCUGGUAGUCCACGCCGUAAACGAUGAAUGCUAAGUGUUGGAGGGUUUCCGCCCUUCA